Macaca fascicularis (crab-eating macaque) is the source of this 1665-nucleotide long non-coding RNA. The record is from Ensembl. NCBI's taxonomy places the organism in Eukaryota, Metazoa, Chordata, Mammalia, Primates, Cercopithecidae.
UUUUUUUUUUUUUUUCGAGACGGAGUUGUGCCUUAUGGCCCAGGCUGGAGUGCAGUGGCGUGAUCUCAGCUCACUGCAACCUCCACCUCCUGGGUUCAAGUGAUUCUCCUGCCUCAGCUUCCCGAGUAGCUGGCAUUACAGGUGAGCACCACCAUGCUCAGGUAAUUUUUGUACUUUUAGUAGAGACGGGGUUUCACCAUGUUGGCCAGGCUGGUCUCGAACUCCUGACUUCAAAUGAUCUGCCCGCCUCGGCCUCCCAAAGUGCUGGAAUUACAGGUGUGAGCCACUGCACUCGGCUGGAGGAGCCUCUUUAUUAUGUGACAUGGGUCUGCAUAAUAAACUGGGAUAAAUUGAGCUUCUGAAUCAAGAAGCUGGGAGAUAUGUGGAAAGUCUUGAGGCAGAAACAGGACCCAAGCACAAAGGCUCUGGUACCCACAGAGAAAGGUCACCAGUGAGCAUCAUGACAGGCACCAGUGGAAGACAGCAGAAGGAGUGUUGAGUGUAAAGCUCCGCAAAGUUUCACUAGAGUUUCAUAAACUCACACAUCGAAUGAGUGACUUGAAGGGAAAUCAAGGAGAAUGAACGAAGUUCCAAUGGGCCAGGGCAGAGCAGAGAAAAGAGAACAGCUGCAGGGAUGGGAGACAAGUGAAACAGAAUUGAGUGAGGCAAAAGCUCAGAGCCAAGGAUAGCAAAGCCCUGAGGAAUUCACAGGAAUCUUGAGAAGGUUACUGGACUUCCUGUAAGACACGGGAUGAAAGGUCCACGCUAAUUUUAUUUAAGUCUCCAAGGACAGCAUGACCUCAGUGGACAUCUGGAUAUGUGUCAGCACUCUAUGCUAGAUGUCUCCUUGGCUCUCAUCACACUUACUGCUAUUUGUUUUAUUUCUGCCUUCUCGCCAGCCUGUAAGCACUGCCUGGUUGGGGGGAAAUCAGUCUUCAUGCUACUACAUCCUGAUGCCUAUCUCAAGCAGGCACAUAAAACAUAUUUACUGAGUGAAUACAUUUUUUUGUCUGAACAGAAUUUAAAGUGUAUUUUAUUUAAUUUUUAAUUUUUGUGGGUACAUGACAUAUACACUUAUGGGUUACAUGAGAUGUUUUGAUUCAAGCAUGCAAUGCAUAAUAAUCACAUCAAGGUAAAUAUGGUAUCCAUACAUCAUUUAUCCUUUGCAUUUCAAGCAAUCCAAUUAUGCUCCUUUAGUUAUUUUUAAAUGUACAAUUAAAUUAUUUUUUACUGUAGUCACCCAAUGGUGCCAACAAAUACUAGAUCUUACUUAUUCUAUUUUUUUGUACCCAAUAACUGUGUCCCCUUUCUCCCAUCCCACCCCAACUACCCUUCCCAGCAUCUGAUAACCAUCCUUCUAUUCUCUAUCUCCAUGAGUUCAAUUGUUUUAAAUUUUAGCUCCCACAGAUAAGUGAGAACAUGUGAUGUUUGUCUUUCUGUGCCUGGCUUAUUUCCUUUACCAUAAUGACCUCCUGUUCCAUCCCUGUUAUUGCAAAUGACAGGAUCUCAUUCUUUUUUUGUGGCUGAAUAGUACUCCAUUGUGUAUAUGUACCACAUUUUCUUUACCUAUUAAUCUGUUGAUGGACAUUUAAGUUGCUUCCAAAUCUUGGCUAUUGUUACGGUGGAUUUUAAAGAGGAACAUAAGACCCUAAAAUAGGAUAUUUC